This 287-nucleotide ribosomal RNA is filed under the name Bacillus sp. IS2805. RNAcentral's name for it is "partial 16S ribosomal RNA". It matches the Rfam family "Bacterial small subunit ribosomal RNA", at positions 162 to 442 of the family's 1533-position model. RNAcentral also lists the same sequence under 1 other name. Lineage: Bacteria; Bacillati; Bacillota; Bacilli; Caryophanales; Bacillaceae. The record is from RNAcentral.
GCUAAUACCGGAUAACUUCAGUCNCCUCCUGGUGACUGAAUAAAAGAUGGCUUCGGCUAUCACUUACAGAUGGGCCCGCGGCGCAUUAGCUAGUUGGUGAGGUAACGGCUCACCAAGGCGACGAUGCGUAGCCGACCUGAGAGGGUGAUCGGCCACACUGGGACUGAGACACGGCCCAGACUCCUACGGGAGGCAGCAGUAGGGAAUCUUCCGCAAUGGACGAAAGUCUGACGGAGCAACGCCGCGUGAGCGAUGAAGGCCUUCGGGUCGUAAAGCUCUGUUGUUAG